RNAcentral lists this ribosomal RNA (433 nucleotides) under uncultured bacterium. RNAcentral's name for it is "partial 16S ribosomal RNA". It matches the Rfam family "Bacterial small subunit ribosomal RNA", at positions 29 to 507 of the family's 1533-position model. The record is from RNAcentral.
AACGAACGCUGGCGGCAGGCCUAACACAUGCAAGUCGAGCGCGCCCUUCGGGGUGAGCGGCGGACGGGUGAGUAACGCGUGGGAACGUGCCCUUUUCUACGGAAUAGCCUCGGGAAACUGAGAGCAAUACCGUAUACGCCCUUUGGGGGAAAGAUUUAUCGGAAAAGGAUCGGCCCGCGUUGGAUUAGGUAGUUGGUAGGGUAAUGGCCUACCAAGCCGACGAUCCAUAGCUGGUUUGAGAGGCUGAUCAGCCACACUGGGACUGAGACACGGCCCAGACUCCUACGGGAGGCAGCAGUGGGGAAUCUUAGACAAUGGGGGCAACCCUGAUCUAGCCAUGCCGCGUGAGUGAUGAAGGCCUUAGGGUUGUAAAGCUCUUUCAGCUGGGAAGAUAAUGACGGUACCAGCAGAAGAAGCCCCGGCUAACUCCGUG